RNAcentral lists this ribosomal RNA (489 nucleotides) under uncultured bacterium. Its description in RNAcentral is "partial 16S ribosomal RNA". It matches the Rfam family "Bacterial small subunit ribosomal RNA", at positions 30 to 507 of the family's 1533-position model. The record is from RNAcentral.
UUGAACGCUGGCGGCAGGCCUAACCCAUGCAAGUCGCACGGUAACAGAAAGCAGCUUGCUGCUUUGCUGACGAGUGGCGGACGGGUGAGUAAUGUCUGGGAAACUGCCUGAUGGAGGGGGAUAACUACUGGAAACGGUAGCUAAUACCGCAUAACGUCGCAAGACCAAAGAGGGGGACCUUCGGGCCUCUUGCCAUCGGAUGUGCCCAGAUGGGAUUAGCUAGUAGGUGGGGUAAAGGCUCACCUAGGCGACGAUCCCUAGCUGGUCUGAGAGGAUGACCAGCCACACUGGAACUGAGACACGGUCCAGACUCCUACGGGAGGCAGCAGUGGGGAAUAUUGCACAAUGGGCGCAAGCCUGAUGCAGCCAUGCCGCGUGUAUGAAGAAGGCCUUCGGGUUGUAAAGUACUUUCAGCGGGGAGGAAGGGAGUAAAGUUAAUACCUUUGCUCAUUGACGUUACCCGCAGAAGAAGCACCGGCUAACUCCGUG